AGUGAUGAAGGUCUUCGGAUCGUAAAACUCUGUUAUUAGGGAAGAACAUACGUGUAAGUAACUAUGCACGUCUUGACGGUACCUAAUCAGAAAGCCACGGCUAACUACGUGCCAGCAGCCGCGGUAAUACGUAGGUGGCAAGCGUUAUCCGGAAUUAUUGGGCGUAAAGCGCGCGUAGGCGGUUUUUUAAGUCUGAUGUGAAAGCCCACGGCUCAACCGUGGAGGGUCAUUGGAAACUGGAAAACUUGAGUGCAGAAGAGGAAAGUGGAAUUCCAUGU
RNAcentral lists this ribosomal RNA (278 nucleotides) under uncultured Staphylococcus sp. RNAcentral's name for it is "partial 16S ribosomal RNA". It matches the Rfam family "Bacterial small subunit ribosomal RNA", at positions 404 to 674 of the family's 1533-position model. The record is from RNAcentral. Lineage: Bacteria; Bacillati; Bacillota; Bacilli; Caryophanales; Staphylococcaceae.